This 231-nucleotide ribosomal RNA is filed under the name uncultured Staphylococcus sp. RNAcentral describes it as "partial 16S ribosomal RNA". It matches the Rfam family "Bacterial small subunit ribosomal RNA", at positions 109 to 334 of the family's 1533-position model. Lineage: Bacteria; Bacillati; Bacillota; Bacilli; Caryophanales; Staphylococcaceae. The record is from RNAcentral.
AGUAACACGUGGAUAACCUACCCAUAAGACUGGGAUAACUUCGGGAAACCGUAGCUAAUACCGGAUAAUAUUUUGAACCGCAUGGUUCAAAAGUGAAAGACGGUCUUGCUGUCACUUAUAGAUGGAUCCGCGCUGCAUUAGCUAGUUGGUAAGGUAACGGCUUACCAAGGCAACGAUGCAUAGCCGACCUGAGAGGGUGAUCGGCCACACUGGAACUGAGACACGGUCCAG